This 109-nucleotide non-coding RNA is filed under the name Candidatus Microgenomatota. Its description in RNAcentral is "Microgenomates Woesebacteria SAM-I sequence". It matches the Rfam family "SAM riboswitch aptamer (S box leader)". From Rfam's summary of the family: The SAM riboswitch is found upstream of a number of genes which code for proteins involved in methionine or cysteine biosynthesis in Gram-positive bacteria. The SAM riboswitch acts at the level of transcription termination control. The record is from RNAcentral.
UUUGUAUCAUGAGUGCGGCGAGGGUUUCAGCCCGAUGACCCGCCGGCAACCCCGAUGAAAUACCUUUCGGAUGGUGCCAAAUCUGAACUUUGCAAAAGAAAGAUACAGG